Molecule: ribosomal RNA, 1339 nt
Filed under: Salmonella enterica
Lineage: Bacteria; Pseudomonadati; Pseudomonadota; Gammaproteobacteria; Enterobacterales; Enterobacteriaceae
Description: partial 23S ribosomal RNA
Rfam family: Bacterial large subunit ribosomal RNA
Source: RNAcentral
GGGUUGUGAGGUUAAGCGACUAAGCGUACACGGUGGAUGCCCUGGCAGUCAGAGGCGAUGAAGGGCGUGCUAAUCUGCGAUAAGCGCCGGUAAGGUGAUAUGAACCGUUAUAACCGGCGAUACCCGAAUGGGGAAACCCAGUGUGAUUCGUCACACUAUCAUUAACUGAAUCCAUAGGUUAAUGAGGCGAACCGGGGGAACUGAAACAUCUAAGUACCCCGAGGAAAAGAAAUCAACCGAGAUUCCCCCAGUAGCGGCGAGCGAACGGGGAGGAGCCCAGAGCCUGAAUCAGCAUGUGUGUUAGUGGAAGCGUCUGGAAAGGCGCGCGAUACAGGGUGACAGCCCCGUACACAAAAGCGCAUGUGCUGUGAGCUCGAUGAGUAGGGCGGGACACGUGGUAUCCUGUCUGAAUAUGGGGGGACCAUCCUCCAAGGCUAAAUACUCCUGACUGACCGAUAGUGAACCAGUACCGUGAGGGAAAGGCGAAAAGAACCCCGGCGAGGGGAGUGAAAAAGAACCUGAAACCGUGUACGUACAAGCAGUGGGAGCCCCACCACUAAGCCAGUGGUGAACUCCACAUACGCAUCCUUUGCUGAGGAUACGGUUAACGGAGCGAAAGCGACGUUCAACCGCAAAACAAGCAGAGGGGGCUUAGUGGUGGGGUGACUGCGUACCUUUUGUAUAAUGGGUCAGCGACUUAUAUUCUGUAGCAAGGUUAACCGAAUAGGGGAGCCGGAGGGAAACCGAGUCUUAAUUGGGCGUUAAGUUGCAGGGUAUAGACCCGAAACCCGGUGAUCUAGCCAUGGGCAGGUUGAAGGUUGGGUAACACUAACUGGAGGACCGAACCGACUAAUGUUGAAAAAUUAGCGGAUGACCUGUGGCUGGGGGUGAAAGGCCAAUCAAACCGGGAGAUAGCUGGUUCUCCCCGAAAGCUAUUUAGGUAGCGCCUCGUGAACUCAUCUUCGGGGGUAGAGCACUGUUUCGGCUAGGGGGUCAUCCCGACUUACCAACCCGAUGCAAACUGCGAAUACCGGAGAAUGUUAUCACGGGAGACACACGGCGGGUGCUAACGUCCGUCGUGAAGAGGGAAACAACCCAGACCGCCAGCUAAGGUCCCAAAGUCAUGGUUAAGUGGGAAACGAUGUGGGAAGGCCCAGACAGCCAGGAUGUUGGCUUAGAAGCAGCCAUCAUUUAAAGAAAGCGUAAUAGCUCACUGGUCGAGUCGGCCUGCGCGGAAGAUGUAACGGGGCUAAACCAUGCACCGAAGCUGCGGCAGCGACGCUGAUGCGUUGUUGGGUAGGGGAGCGUUCUGUAAGCCUGUGAAGGUGUGUCGUGAGGC